ACCUACGGGAGGCAGCAGUGGGGAAUAUUGCGCAAUGGGGGAAACCCUGACGCAGCAACGCCGCGUGAGCGAUGAAGGCCUUCGGGUCGUAAAGCUCUGUCUUUGGGGACGAUAAUGACGGUACCCAAGGAGGAAGCCACGGCUAACUACGUGCCAGCAGCCGCGGUAAUACGUAGGUGGCGAGCGUUGUCCGGAAUUACUGGGCGUAAAGGGUGCGUAGGCGGAAUAUUAAGUCAGAUGUGAAAUCCCCGGGCUCAACUCGGGAGUUGCAUUUGAAACUGGUAUUCUAGAGUGCAGGAGAGGAAAGCGGAAUUCCUAGUGUAGCGGUGAAAUGCGUAGAUAUUAGGAAGAACACCAGUGGCGAAGGCGGCUUUCUGGACUGUAACUGACGCUGAGGCACGAAAGCGUGGGGAGCAAACAGGAUUAGAUACCCUGGU
Molecule: ribosomal RNA, 437 nt
Filed under: uncultured bacterium
Lineage: Bacteria
Description: bacterial SSU rRNA
Rfam family: Bacterial small subunit ribosomal RNA
Source: RNAcentral